GCGGCCGAUGUCUGAUUAGCUAGUUGGUGAGGUAAAGGCUUACCAAGGCGACGAUCAGUAGCUGGUCUGAGAGGACGACCAGCCACACUGGGACUGAGACACGGCCCAGACUCCUACGGGAGGCAGCAGUGGGGAAUUUUGGACAAUGGGGGAAACCCUGAUCCAGCCAUGCCGCGUGAGUGAAGAAGGCCUUCGGGUUGUAAAGCUCUUUCAGCCGGAACGAAACKGUCACGGUUAAUACCCGUGACUACUGACGGUACCGGAAGAAGAAG
This 272-nucleotide ribosomal RNA is filed under the name uncultured beta proteobacterium. Its description in RNAcentral is "partial 16S ribosomal RNA". It matches the Rfam family "Bacterial small subunit ribosomal RNA", at positions 226 to 490 of the family's 1533-position model. Lineage: Bacteria; Pseudomonadati; Pseudomonadota; Betaproteobacteria. The record is from RNAcentral.